GCCCGGGGGGCCCGGAGCAGUUUCCAGUGGCCAGGGGUACGCGCGGCCGGAGGGGCGCCGGGGCCGUACUCACCGCGGCCGUUCUGGUUGGGCCGGUACACGCUGCCCACGCUGAGGCGGCCCUGCUGCGCGCCGUUCCGCUCCCCACCCGGCGGGGGCGUGUCGGAGCUGCGCACCGGCAGGAGCUCCUGCCUGCCUGGAUGAAGAGGAGGUCAAGACUUUGUCCCCCACUCCGCAAGAUACCCUCUCUGUUCCGGAGCGCUGCUGUGUUGUGAGCCACCUUAUGGAAAACCCAUGUGGCAGAGAACCGAGGGUGGUGGCUGGCCAACAGCAAGCCAGGAGCUGAGGCCCACAGUCCAACAACUGGUGAGGAACCACAUGCUGCCAGCAGCCAUGUGAGGGAACUUAGAAGCAAAUCCUUCCCCAGUUGAGCCUUCAGAUGACACCAGAGCCUUGGCUGACCCCUUACUUUUACCCUUGUAAGAGACUUUGAGCCAGAAGACUUGGCUAAACCACACCUGGAUUCCUGACCCACAGAAACUUGAAAUAAUAAAUGUGUUGUUUUAAGUCACUCGGUUUUGGGGUAAUUUGUUACAUAGCAGAGAUAACUAAUAUAG
Molecule: long non-coding RNA, 617 nt
Filed under: Homo sapiens (human)
Lineage: Eukaryota; Metazoa; Chordata; Mammalia; Primates; Hominidae
Description: HSALNT0382242
Source: RNAcentral